Molecule: long non-coding RNA, 2372 nt
Filed under: Solanum tuberosum (potato)
Lineage: Eukaryota; Viridiplantae; Streptophyta; Magnoliopsida; Solanales; Solanaceae
Description: long non-coding RNA (STUB_LNC001885)
Source: RNAcentral
UCAAAUCCCAGAAAAUUCGGCCAGAAAUCUACAGCGCCCAUACUCAUCCUGUCCCCUCGUCCUCUUUUGUCAAAUAGCCCCAUCCUUUCUAUUGUUUUCGGAAAAACGGGGAUUUGAAAUUCAAAUUUUUAAUCUGUUUUCCCUCUAAUCGAAUUCAUUUUUCUCCUAUAAAAAUCCAUCUUUGCUUUCGGUUUUAGGGGAGGAAAAAUUAUUCUUGAACAAUUGACUUUUACGCUUGAGAAAUUUUGAAUGCAUUUUUAGUCCUAGAUUUUAAAAGGGUCUUCGGCUAAGAUUUGUUUGGAUUUUUUAUUUUAUUGCUCGAGGUUUGAAGUCGGUGUUGAAGUUGUUCUUAAGCUCGUAUUGGUCCCGGUUCGCUGCUCCGAAAAGGGUAACAACUCCUCUUCUCUCAUUUCAUUUUUAUUUCAGUUAAUUUGUUCUCUGUUUGGUGAAGUAGUUGCAUAUCCAUAUUUGUUUCUUUCCGUUUGAACUCUCUUAGUGCUAUAAUGCAUCGACCCCCCCCCCCCCAAAAAAAAACGACUCUUUCUCCUUCUAUAUAUUCCCUCUCUCAAUCCCUGUUAUAGGGGGAUUUUAAAAAGAAAAGAAAAGGGGGAGAUAGAAAAAAUAAUAUAGCAAGGUAUAGAGAAAUAUAAAUCUAUAAGAGGUGCUCUCGAAGCAGAGAAGAGAACCAUUUUUUUUUAUCUGAGCUCCACCCUCUCCAUUAGUUGGUUGAGAAUUUCCAAGGUUUUAAGUCGCUGAUUGGUGGAGGAAUCGUUGUUACCUCGCUCGUUUUCGUCUCCGUUCGCUGCACUUUGGAAGGUAACAACUCCUCUUCUCUCAUUUCAUUUUUAUUUCAGUUAAUUUGUUCUCUGUUUGGUGAAGUAGUUGCGUAUCCAUAUUUGUUUCUUUCCGUUUGAACUCUCUUAGUGCUAUAAUGCAUGAAUUAGGAUGAUGUAGUAGCUAGUUUUAUGGUGCAAUGUCCUCAUUUCUCACUGUCUGUUGUUGCUUUGGUUUGAGAGUGAGAAAACAAUAGAAACUUCAUGUAUUUUGCUUCACACCCUUACCCCUCAACUGAAGACAAGUGUUCUUGUAUGUUUAUUUUGAAUAGUAUUUUAGCUAGAUUAACUAAUUUCUUGAAAUUGUGAUUGUUCCUUUUAUUAAAAUUUCCCUUAGAAUUGUAGCUAAGUGUUAAGGUAUGUCUUUUCUUUUCCGCAGAAUGUGAAAUUCUUGCUUAAAAUAGUUAAAUGGGUUUGUGUAUAAUGAGACAGCCCUAACCCCUACAUUUUAAUUUGUUACUAUCGAAAUGUCCUGAAAGCUCUCAUUUAAAUUCAUUGUUCGAAAAUCUGAUCCUAUUUUGAGGAUUAAGUCAUCAGUGAUCUAGUUAAUCCAAGCAUGGCUUUAGGUUCUUAUUUUAAUAUCUUAUCCAAUUAGGCAUAUUUGUGAGUGCUGAGUAGAUUUAAAAAAUUAUGGCCUUGAGGUUUGCUAUUGUAAAGGUUCCUUGUUAAUCCUAGUUUGAAUUCGCGCGGUAGAUAUAUCUAUCCUCUGUUUUCGAUCAACUUGAGUGGUAUAUAUCUCUUUGGAUUUAAACUCAUGACGGGAUGCUUGUAACUCUACCAUUUUAAUGUGACGAUUUAACUAAGAUUGCUCUUAUUUUCCAAAAGAAUAAAAAAUAAAAUAGCCCUCCCCAUCUUUGUCCAAAGUCUAAAAAAUAUCCUUCUAAUUUUUAACUUGUUGUUUAACUUAGUUAUUUACUCGAACGUUAAUAUUCAACAGUGAUAUGAACCUUGUUUUGUAUUAUGCCAUUGUUUAACAUAUUUGCUUAUGUUGCCUAGUUUAGUUAUUUAAAUGUAGUUAUUUUCUUCCUUUGCCUAUAAUGAGUUAAUUAGCUAUUGUCUUCAAUUUUGAUCCUUCGAUAUGACAAACCGGCAACCUUAAGUCCCCAUAGAUAGAGCUAGUUUUGUAUUGUAUGAGGUGAUGUUAGCUCUUUAAUAUAUCUUUGGAUCGCAUCAAUUAUUGCUUAUAAAUUUUAGUCAUAUGUACGUAUGUGUGGGCAUGUGCUUUGGAAGUUUCAUGUGGCUUGAUUUUCAUUACCUUAGUAUAAGUUUUAUUACCUCCUAUUUUGUGUUGAACUUAGUGACCUUUUGGUCUUAAUUUGGUCUAAAAGUGACUGUAGUAAUAUUUGCCUCUCAAAAAGUAUUUAAGCCACUUUCAUCUUGAUUUUAAGUUACGUCUUAAUUGUUCCCUUAAUUCGUACACUAAUUUUUAUACUCGCUUUUUGUUGCAUAUAAAACUCCAUUCGAGUUCACUUUGGACUCCACUCUCGCAUAUCCUUGAGUCUUUCGAGUCAUCCUCAUAUAUUCGGUGAAAAAGAAGUU